This 459-nucleotide ribosomal RNA is filed under the name uncultured bacterium. RNAcentral describes it as "partial 16S ribosomal RNA". It matches the Rfam family "Bacterial small subunit ribosomal RNA", at positions 338 to 795 of the family's 1533-position model. The record is from RNAcentral.
CCUACGGGUGGCAGCAGUGAGGAAUAUUGGUCAAUGGUCGGGAGACUGAACCAGCCAAGCCGCGUGAGGGAUGAAGGUACAGAGUAUCGUAAACCUCUUUUGUCAGGGAACAAAGGCGGGGACGUGUCCCCGGAUGAGUGUACCUGAAGAAAAAGCAUCGGCUAACUCCGUGCCAGCAGCCGGGGUAAUACGGGGGAUGCGCGCGUUAUCCGGAUGUAUUGGGGUAAAGGGGUGCGCAGGCGGUCUGUUAAGUCAGCGGUAAAAGCCCGGGGCUCACACCCGGCCCCCCGUUGAAACUGGCAGUCUCGAGUUGGAGAGAAGGAUGCGGAAUGCGCGGUGUAGCGGUGAAAUGCAUAGAUAUCGCGCAGAACUCCGAUUGCGAAGGCAGCAUGCCGGCUCCACACUGACGCUGAGGCACGAAAGCGUGGGUAUCGAACAGGAUUAGAUACCCCUGUAGUC